CAAUACUGUAGUGGCGGAACGGGUGAGUAACACGUUGGUGACCUGCCCCAAAGAUGGGAAUAUCACCUGGAAACGGGUGGCAAAACCGAAUAAGCUUUUUCCGAGUUAGAGAAGGAAAAGUAAAAGUGCAAACUACUUUGGGAGGGGGCCUGCGGCCCAUCAGUUAGUUGGUGAGGGUAACGGCCACCAAGACGAAGACGGGUAGGGGACCUGAGAGGGUGGUCCCCCACAAUGGAACUGAAACACGGUCCAUACACCUGCGGGUGGCAGCAGUAGGGAAUAUUGCUUAAUGGGCGAAAGCCUGAUGCAAGCGACGCCGCGUGAGUGAAAGAAGUAUUUCGGUAUGUAAAGCUCUAUCAGCAGGAAAGAAAAUGACGGUACCUGACUAAGAAGCCCCGGCUAACUACGUGCCAGCCGCAGC
RNAcentral lists this ribosomal RNA (421 nucleotides) under uncultured bacterium. RNAcentral describes it as "bacterial SSU rRNA". It matches the Rfam family "Bacterial small subunit ribosomal RNA", at positions 85 to 518 of the family's 1533-position model. The record is from RNAcentral.